RNAcentral lists this ribosomal RNA (466 nucleotides) under uncultured bacterium. RNAcentral's name for it is "bacterial SSU rRNA". It matches the Rfam family "Bacterial small subunit ribosomal RNA", at positions 328 to 793 of the family's 1533-position model. The record is from RNAcentral.
UGUCCAGACUCCUACGGGAGGCAGCAGUGGGGAAUAUUGCACAAUGGGGGAAACCCUGAUGCAGCGACGCCGCGUGAGUGAAGAAGUAUUUCGGUAUGUAAAGCUCUAUCAGCAGGGAAGAAAUAGCGACCUUUGGGUCGCCAGACGGUACCUGAUUAAGAAGCCCCGGCUAACUACGUGCCAGCAGCCGCGGUAAUACGUAGGGGGCAAGCGUUAUCCGGAUUUACUGGGUGUAAAGGGAGCGUAGGCGGCGAUGCAAGUCAGAAGUGAAAGCCCGGGGCUCAACUCCGGGACUGCUUUUGAAACUGUAUGGCUAGAUUGCAGGAGAGGCAAGUGGAAUUCCUAGUGUAGCGGUGAAAUGCGUAGAUAUUAGGAGGAACACCAGUGGCGAAGGCGGCCUGCUGGGCUUUAACUGACGCUGAGGCUCGAAAGCGUGGGGAGCAAACAGGAUUAGAUACCCCGGUAC